This 424-nucleotide long non-coding RNA is filed under the name Homo sapiens (human). RNAcentral describes it as "non-protein coding lnc-SACS-8:2". The record is from RNAcentral. Lineage: Eukaryota; Metazoa; Chordata; Mammalia; Primates; Hominidae.
GCACACUGCGUCAGCCGGACUUGCUCUGCAGCUGGGUUCUUUGGAGGCCCCCACUCCGCGGCUACUGAAGCGGAUGAGUCUACACCUGGAUCUCCCGAGGGCAUCUCCUAAUUCCUUGAUAUCCCGGGGCCUAGCACACGAUGGAUACUCAGCACUUCUAAGCUGAGUUACUGCAUCUUCCUUUGCAAGGUCUCACGCAGUCCCCCAUCGUCCUCUCUUUGUCUUGGUGCCCACCACCUCCUUCACCACCAUGCAGACCCUCCCCACCCCUCACCACAGCACUGCCUCGGUCAUCAACCCCGCUUCCCGCCUUUCAUCACUGCUACUGUCAGGCUGAAGAGUCACAGGAGGUUCCUCACUGUAAAGAAUGGAUUCUGCGCUCCUUAGAUUAGCAUUCCGAGAUGUCCAGGUGCAGCCCUACACC